GAUAGAGUAGAAUAAGUAAGUUUUUUAGGUUCAUACCCUAAAGGUUUAUCUGUUA
This 55-nucleotide transfer RNA is filed under the name Gnathostoma nipponicum. RNAcentral's name for it is "tRNA-Met". Lineage: Eukaryota; Metazoa; Nematoda; Chromadorea; Rhabditida; Gnathostomatidae. The record is from RNAcentral.